UACAGAGGGGGCAAGCGUUGUCCGGAAUUAUUGGGCGUAAAGAGCGUGUAGGCGGCUCGAUUAGUCCGCUGUGAAAGUCCAGGGCUCAACCCUGGAAUGCCGGUGGAUACUGUCGAGCUAGAGUCCGGAAGAGGAGAGUGGAAUUCCUGGUGUAGCGGUGAAAUGCGCAGAUAUCAGGAAGAACACCCGUGGCGAAGGCGGCUCUCUGGGACGGUACUGACGCUGAGACGCGAAAGCGUGGGGAGCGAACAGG
RNAcentral lists this ribosomal RNA (253 nucleotides) under uncultured bacterium. RNAcentral describes it as "partial 16S ribosomal RNA". It matches the Rfam family "Bacterial small subunit ribosomal RNA", at positions 524 to 776 of the family's 1533-position model. The record is from RNAcentral.